GACGAACGCUGGCGGCGUGCUUAACACAUGCAAGUCGAACGCUGAAGCACCAGCUUGCUGGUGUGGAUGAGUGGCGAACGGGUGAGUAAUACGUGAGUAACCUGCCCUUGACUCUGGGAUAAGCCCGGGAAACUGGGUCUAAUACUGGAUGCUACAUGUCACCGCAUGGUGGUGUGUGGAAAGGGUUUACUGGUCUUGGAUGGGCUCACGGCCUAUCAGCUUGUUGGUGAGGUAAUGGCUCACCAAGGCGACGACGGGGAGCCGGCCUGAGAGGGUGACCGGCGACACUGGGACUGAGACACGGCCCAGACUCCUUCGGGAGGCAGCAGUGGGGAAUAUUGCACAAUGGGCGAAAGCCUGAUGCAGCGACGCCGCGUGAGGGAUGACGGCCUUCGGGUUGUAAACCUCUUUCAGCAGGGAAGAAGCCACAAGUGACGGUACCUGCAGAAGAAGCGCCGGCUAACUACGUGCCAGCCGCCGCGGUAA
This 486-nucleotide ribosomal RNA is filed under the name uncultured bacterium. RNAcentral describes it as "partial 16S ribosomal RNA". It matches the Rfam family "Bacterial small subunit ribosomal RNA", at positions 28 to 523 of the family's 1533-position model. The record is from RNAcentral.